CACGCAGGCGGUUUGUUAAGUCAGAUGUGAAAUCCCCGGGCUCAACCUGGGAGCUGCAUCUGAUACUGGCAAGCUUGAGUCUCGUAGAGGGGGUAGAAUUCCAGGUGUAGCGGUGAAAUGCGUAGAGAUCUGGAGGAAUACCGGUGGCGAAGGCGGCCCCUGGACGAAGACUGACGCUCAGGUGCGAAAGCGUGGGAGCAAACA
RNAcentral lists this ribosomal RNA (204 nucleotides) under uncultured bacterium. Its description in RNAcentral is "partial 16S ribosomal RNA". It matches the Rfam family "Bacterial small subunit ribosomal RNA", at positions 568 to 774 of the family's 1533-position model. The record is from RNAcentral.